RNAcentral lists this ribosomal RNA (236 nucleotides) under uncultured bacterium. Its description in RNAcentral is "partial 16S ribosomal RNA". It matches the Rfam family "Bacterial small subunit ribosomal RNA", at positions 118 to 353 of the family's 1533-position model. The record is from RNAcentral.
UAUCCAACCUGCCGUCUACUCUUGGACAGCCUUCUGAAAGGAAGAUUAAUACAAGAUGGCAUCAUGAGUCCGCAUGUUCACAUGAUUAAAGGUAUUCCGGUAGACGAUGGGGAUGCGUUCCAUUAGAUAGUAGGCGGGGUAACGGCCCACCUAGUCUUCGAUGGAUAGGGGUUCUGAGAGGAAGGUCCCCCACAUGGAACUGAGACACGGUCCAAACUCCUACGGGAGGCAGCAUG